Molecule: ribosomal RNA, 287 nt
Filed under: uncultured bacterium
Lineage: Bacteria
Description: partial 16S ribosomal RNA
Rfam family: Bacterial small subunit ribosomal RNA
Source: RNAcentral
AUGGGCCUACGGGGCGCAGCAGUAGGGAAUCUUCCACAAUGGACGAAAGUCUGAUGGAGCAACGCCGCGUGAGUGAAGAAGGGUUUCGGCUCGUAAAGCCCUGUUGGUAGUGAAGAAAGAUAGAGGUAGUAACUGGCCUUUAUUUGACGGUAAUUACUCAGAAAGUCACGGCUAACUACGUGCCAGCAGCCGCGGUAAUACGUAGGUGGCAAGCGUUGUCCGGAUUUAUUGGGCGUAAAGCGAGUGCAGGCGGUUCAAUAAGUCUGGUGUGAAAGCCUUCGGCUCCA